GUUAAAUAUUGUUUUAUGGAAAAAUUAGUAAGUUACAACAUUUUAGAAUCUUAUCGAUUAUAACAUUGUUUAUGUGAAUCCUACUAUGUCGCUGACGUAUAAUAUUGCAUUUUGGAUAUAGUUAAAAAAAACCAAAAAAAAACGUGUGGAACCCUUAGGAAAAUGCCUAUUUUGUCGUUUCAAGACAAUCACUGUCAAACCGUAGCCCGACAUAUAGCAAAGAUCAAUUAUAACGAACUGUUUUAUCAGAAGUUUCGAAGUGUUAUAAUAAUGUACAACAUACACAAAGC
This 290-nucleotide long non-coding RNA is filed under the name Mytilus galloprovincialis (Mediterranean mussel). Lineage: Eukaryota; Metazoa; Mollusca; Bivalvia; Mytilida; Mytilidae. The record is from RNAcentral.